Raphanus sativus (radish) is the source of this 423-nucleotide long non-coding RNA. RefSeq lists it as uncharacterized. NCBI's taxonomy places the organism in Eukaryota, Viridiplantae, Streptophyta, Magnoliopsida, Brassicales, Brassicaceae. The record is from RefSeq and is a predicted model, not a curated record. The transcript has 4 exons.
AGGUGUCUGGGAUUAAUGGUUCUUCUUCUUGUCUCUGCUAUCCGGAUGUUUAAUCUUGUGUCUUGGAUCUCUUCUUAUGGUGGUUGCUGGGUGCCAUCUUGUUAAAGGACAGAGAAAUCUCCAAUGAACGAUGGGAAAUCAAGGUUUUAACUGAAGUCUUCAAGCUAUUCUUUAAGAUGGUGAUGAUUCGGUCUAGAAUCUCAGGUUUAAGAGUGGACUGGUGGAAUGUUUCGAGAAAUCUGAGACUUGGAUGAAUUUGUGGAUAGUACGUCAAGGUUUUUAUGUUGCAAUAAACAACGUUGUUGAUCAAGCAAUUUGACAAGAAAUCUUAAUGAACAACGAGGUACUCAUGUCAUACUUUUCUUAUCAAUUAAACUUAUAUGCUUGCAUCAAGCUGAUUUUACGCUAUUGAUGUUCAAGAUU